Molecule: long non-coding RNA, 633 nt
Filed under: Scleropages formosus (Asian bonytongue)
Lineage: Eukaryota; Metazoa; Chordata; Actinopteri; Osteoglossiformes; Osteoglossidae
Description: lncRNA (ENSSFOG00015027309.1)
Source: RNAcentral
CUGAUCGUGUUUGCAUCAGCUUCUCUAGCAGCUGAACCUUUCUGCGUUCACAGAAGUCCCAGGCUUGUGCCCAGUGAUUCCAGGAUAGGCUCCGGACGGCCAUGACCCUGACGAGGACAAGCAGAGUGAGGGAUGGACGAGACGAACCCAGCCCUGGUUCGGGCUCCAGAUGCCACCACAGACGAGGAUGUCCAGCUGCGCUCGAUGAUGAGCCCGUUCCUCUCUGCGCCGCCCAGGUAACGUGCGCGGUCGCGCGCGAGCAAGGCGAACGGGCCCGCUGCCGUUCAGCGGCACACAGGUGGGCUGCAGGGCUGGGGCUGUUUGACGUGGCAGCCAUCCCGGACGUGACACAAAGCGGCUCAUCGGCACCAUCAUCCCCGAGUCCCGGCCGCGGUUCUGCAUCCUCGUGUCCGUCCUGCUGGACCCGAAGAGACGCCGGUGUUCGUGGCGCGCGAUCGGAGUCGCACGGCGGACGUUCACGCGGACCCGGGAGCGACCAUGUGGCUCCUGCUGCUGCUGUGCGGAGUCUUGCACUCGGUCUCGGGCUACGAGCUUGACCCCAAGAAGCUGGAGGCUCUGGCCAAAGCCAAGGUGGAGAGCUGCGGGGGGUGACAGCUCAACCGGCUGAGGGAG